Molecule: long non-coding RNA, 2000 nt
Organism: Triticum aestivum (bread wheat)
Lineage: Eukaryota; Viridiplantae; Streptophyta; Magnoliopsida; Poales; Poaceae
Exons: 3
Source: RefSeq, a predicted model, not a curated record
CUCUCUCUCCCCUCUCCCUGAAAACACACCCGCCGCCGCCUCUCUCCCUCUCUCCCCGAUCCAGAAUCUCGCCGCCCAGUCGCAACGCUCACCAUCCCCCCAACCUCGCCGCCGACCAACUCCUCUCCCCCAACCCCGCCGCCGGCCUUCUCUUACCCUAGCGCUGCCGCUCCAAACCCUCACCUUGGGAAGGGAAGGCCCCAGAUCCAAGCCAGCAUCUUCUCUCCCAAGGGAAGGGAGGGAAGGGAACGCCGCAGAUCGAGAUCCACAUCGGAAUCGGCGCGCCGUCAUCGACCUGGCCCGUGACGUACCAAGGUCCUCCAUGGAGAUCCGACCCAGCAAUAGCCCGUGUCCACCAAGGUCCUCCAUGGCGUCCCACGCCGGCGUGCAGCACCUCCGCCAGAUCCGCCUCGAGCGCUCACCCACAACCUCUCCCCGUGGCUAGGGUUACGGGGGCCGCGGCGGCUCCAAUUCCGGUGCCUCUGCUUCGUCCUCUCCCUCCCUCCCACAUGCAUCUCCACCUUAUGGACGGUGCUCCUGCGCUCGAUCGCUACGGGAUUGACGUGCGCGGUGCCUCCCUCGGGCAGCCUCCUCCACUGCGUGCGUGAUGGCGGUGGAUGGCCGUCCCGCAACCGCGGUGGCGCCUGUCCAUGGCGUCGACUACACAAAACUCCCAUGGGGAAGUUUUCAUCCUUAUAGCAGAGAAGAAGGGCUUCACUUCAUCGUACCAGCCAGGAAAGGUGCAUGGUGGUUGCAAGCCAUGGAGGGGAGGCGGUCCUGUUCAACAUCGGCUAAUUGAACGCAAAUCAUGCGGCUUGUUGCUUGCCUAAUUGAACACCUGCUGCUGCUACUGCGACACCAUGGCUGGGGUGUCCAGUGGGUCGCGCCUACUUACCUGGCAGCAGUGGCGGCGGCUACAAGUUUUCUCCACUACUGCAACUCAUCUCCAAGUCCUACAGCCUGGAUCAUCUCCUUCACCAGCGCCUACAUUGGGUCUGAAGUCUGAACCUCUCUUCUGUACUCCAUGUUUACUGAAUUGCUCAAAAGUCUCCAUAGUGUGUGUGUGCAUGUGUGUGUGUGUGUUAGAGUGUAGGAGUGCAAAUGGGCACCCUGUAUGGUAUUCUGUGGCCCUCUUUAGUUCAACUAAAUGAACUGAAUUUUUAGAAGUCACAUAACAUUUGAAAAUUUAGUUUAUUUGGUUAGAUGAUCUUUGUUCAUAACACAGGCUUAUUUUAGCUCUUUUAGUUCAUUUUUUACUAUUAUCACUUGAAUGUCUUUGUUAUAAUAAAGCACAACGGUUAUGUAUAUAUGUGCAUAUAGUGUUAUCUGCAGCUAGUUGUAUAUGUGGUGCAGUUGUGCAGAGCUACUAGUCGUGCUUGGUACUUUAGUAUUUUGCUUUCCUUUGUACUGGGUAUAUUAUUUUCUGCUACUAAUCGAUGAACGCAAUAAAUAAAGAGAACCAAACUGCUUCUCUUGAUUUCUGCUACAUCGUUUCUACUUGUUUGUGUGUAAAACCAUUCUUAAGCCUGAAUGGUACUUUUCUUGUUUUUGUCUAUUUUGUUCCUAUGAAAAGUCUGCUCUCUUUAGCUCAUGCUCGUUACCUCCUCCCCUCAUGUUUCACGGGAAGAUGAUAAACCUUUUUAAGAUCAAGGGGCAGAAGAAGGAAGAGGUGGCCAACUCAAAUGUGGGGCCUCCUGUUAAGAAGCAAAGUCCAGGGCGACGGCCGAAGGCAUGAUGAUAGUUCUAUUGUUGUCCUAGUGUAGCGAAGGUGGCCUAGUCGACUAUGGUCACGUAGUUAGUCAUGCAUACAGUUUCAUCUGACUGGAGCAGGAGCCCAGUUUGUGUUGUCCCUAUAUCUGUGUGACUGAUUGUAUUUAUAUCUAUGUUAUUACACUAUAGUAGAGCUUGUAACUGUGUCAUGACAGAAGGAGCCCAGUAUAUCUGUAUGACUGUGAUUGAUUUUCGCAGUUGUUAUUUGAAAUAUUACUUGUGUUUUAUGU